This 488-nucleotide ribosomal RNA is filed under the name uncultured bacterium. Its description in RNAcentral is "partial 16S ribosomal RNA". It matches the Rfam family "Bacterial small subunit ribosomal RNA", at positions 28 to 507 of the family's 1533-position model. The record is from RNAcentral.
GACGAACGCUGGCGGCGUGCUUAACACAUGCAAGUCGAACGCGCCUGUCCUCUGGGUUUCUGGGGGGUGGGUGAGUGGCGAACGGGUGAGUAACACGUGAGUAACCUGCCCCCUUCUUCGGGAUAACGGUCUGAAAGGGCUGCUAAUACCGGGUAUUCACUGGUCUCCGCAUGGGGUCUGGUGGAAAGGUUUUUUUCUGGUGGGGGAUGGGCUCGCGGCCUAUCAGCUUGUUGGUGGGGUGAUGGCCCACGAAGGCUUUGACGGGUAGCCGGCCUGAGAGGGUGACCGGUCACAUUGGGACGGAGAUACGGCCCAGACUCCUACGGGAGGCAGCAGUGGGGAAGAUGACACAAUGGGCGAAAGCCUGAUGCGGCGACGCCGCGUGAGGGGUGGAGGCCUUCGGGUUGUGAACCUCUUUCGCCCGUGGUCAAGCCGCGACGUGGGUCGUGGUGAGGGUAGUGGGUAAAGAAGCGCCGGCUAACUACGUG